AUAUAUUUUCUUCUGCUUCACUUUGCAAAUCGUGAGUUUUAAUAUACAUUUUUUACCAUCAUGAGAUGCUUGAGGUUCAUGAACCUGUAUUGUUUAUUGACACACCUGAAAUGAACUACUCCCACAUCCUCUACAUAUAAAACACUGAUGGGAAGUUAGUACAAGGAGAGCCUGAAGGAGAGUGGAAAAAGUAAGGAAAAGGCAACCACAAGAUCACACAUCACGGUCAGCGUUGCUUAGUUUAACUAACUUGUAGAGCCAUGUGAAUAGUAUGAAUAACUUGUAGGUCUGAAUAGAUUAAUUAACUUGUACAGUAUAUGUAAAUGGUGUCAAAUGUGAUCCUGAAAGCAUAAUUUCUAAUCAUACUCGGCCCUGACAACCUACUUAAUAUCAGUCAUCAGGGAUGGGAUGUUGUCGAAGAAAACAAUUUACUGAUGACAAUUCAUUUGACCCUCGGUGUCAGAGGGCUUUGUGAUGGAAGGGACUCAGCAUGGGAGCUGAGAGAGGAAGGCUGCCUCAUUACUUCUGCUUGAUUGCAGGGGAUUGAGAAUGAGAACAAUGGCAGGAGGCAAAGGUAUAGAGACAGACUGAGACAAACCAGGGAUAUUUGCAUAUGCAUUCGUGGACUCUUCCCGGAAACGUAUGUGGCAAUUAUAUUUUGACAGACCAUGCAUAAUAUAACGAAAGCAUUCAAUAAAGUUCUAAAAAAAAUGUGAACAU
This is a non-coding RNA of Oncorhynchus mykiss (rainbow trout), 720 nucleotides long. Lineage: Eukaryota; Metazoa; Chordata; Actinopteri; Salmoniformes; Salmonidae. The record is from RefSeq and is a predicted model, not a curated record.